This 394-nucleotide ribosomal RNA is filed under the name Enterobacter sp. LGI-P5G. RNAcentral's name for it is "bacterial SSU rRNA". It matches the Rfam family "Bacterial small subunit ribosomal RNA", at positions 982 to 1378 of the family's 1533-position model. The record is from RNAcentral. Lineage: Bacteria; Pseudomonadati; Pseudomonadota; Gammaproteobacteria; Enterobacterales; Enterobacteriaceae.
AGACUUCCAGAGACUGCNUNGGUUAGCUUCGGGAACUCUGAGACAGGNGCUGCAUGNCUGUCGUCAGCUCGUGUUGUGAAAUGUUGGGUUAAGUNCCCGGCAAAGGAAGCGGCAACCCUUUAUCCCUUUGUUGCCAGCGGUUCGGCCGGGAACUCAAAGGAGACUGCCAGUGAUAAACUGGAGGAAGGUGGGGAUGACGUCAAGUCAUCAUGGCCCUUACGAGUAGGGCUACACACGUGCUACAAUGGCGCAUACAAAGAGAAGCGACCUCGCGAGAGCAAGCGGACCUCAUAAAGUGCGUCGUAGUCCGGAUUGGAGUCUGCAACUCGACUCCAUGAAGUCGGAAUCGCUAGUAAUCGUAGAUCAGAAUGCUACGGUGAAUACGUUCCCGGGU